Rhineura floridana is the source of this 2900-nucleotide RNA transcript. RefSeq lists it as uncharacterized. The transcript has 3 exons. NCBI's taxonomy places the organism in Eukaryota, Metazoa, Chordata, Lepidosauria, Squamata, Rhineuridae. The record is from RefSeq and is a predicted model, not a curated record.
CUCUGGUGUGGGGGAAUGUUGUAUGGAAGGGGAACUGUGUUUGAGAAGUUUAGUGUCAGUAAAAGACUCUUACAAAGUACUUUGCCUGGCCUGGAUUAUUUCUGUUCGGAACUGCUUCACAGCCGACUUUCUGGACCGUGUGAACACACGCACCAACAUAUAUAUGGAAAUCAAUGCUGACAGGAAAAAAUCCAGUAGGAAUAUAGAAAGCUGCCUUAUUCCACAUCAGACCAUUGGUCCAUCUAUUUCACUACUGUCUACACUGGCUGGGACUGGCUCUCCAGGAUUUCACAGAGGAGUCUUUCCCAACCCUGCCUGGAGAUGCCAAAGACUGAAGCUGGGACUUUCUGCAGGCAAGACAGAUGCUCUACCAUUGAGCUAUGGGUCUUAUUCGCCACCUUGAGUUUCUAAUGGAAUCCAUCCACAAUUUCCCCUGCUCCCAGUCACUCUCAGAGUUGAAUUUCUACAAAGAGAGAUGCUGGAACUCAGGUCUUCCUGGGAUUAUUGAUCAAUGACUUAUCUGUUCUCAUUACUAUAUCAUCUUACGUUCUAUCUUGCCAUUGGAAAGGAAUACCAAACUAAGAAUACUGAAGCAGACACCAAGCCACGAAUAUUGAAGACCUUCUGAGGAAGCAGCAAGCCUCAAUGGACCAUAGAAAUAAGGCACUGGAGAGAGGAAGAAUAUACUAUAGAACCCUUUUUUAUUUAUAACAUUUUUUUAAAAAAUCAUUGUUAGAUGCAAUCCUUUCAUGGUACCAGUAGUUAUACAUUUAUUUUAACACUUGUGCUCUAUUCUAUGCUGGAUGUUUUUAGAUUGAGAGGUAUUCCUCUGUCAUUCGUUUCAGUAGCAAUUUUCAGGUCACUAACUGCUCAGAGUUUCUGUUUUAUAACAUAGUUUGCUUGAUACUUCUGUAUAUGACUCUCUUGAUGGAACCUUCUGAACAAGGCAACAAAACCAGAAUAAAUACUCUAAUCUCAUAGUGUCAGAAAAUGUGAUCCUUCAGAUUAAAAUAUAUGCAGCAAGCUUACUCUUUCCCUGAAGAAUGAUUCUGGGGGAAGUCUCCUGUAAGGAAAUAUGCCUGUUUCUCCUCUUCAGAAUUUCUACACUCUUCAGAACUGGGAUGAUAAAAUCAUUAAAGGAGUUAGAAACAGGAAAUAGAUGAAUCGUGCAUAGCACAGAGUAAUUACAGAGAGAAGUGUUUUCAAAACAAAGUAUACAGAAACACAUAUUUUAUUAAAAAUUGCAAAGGGUGCCAGAUGACCACAAUUUGUCUGGACAGCACAAGUUUAAAUGUCAACACCAAAAAAGCCUGCAUCCACUCAAGUGGUCCACCUGAGGUCCACUUCUGCAUGGCAAAACAUCCUCUGUCAAAGUUGUUUAGGGGUGAAUAGCAAUAUUAGUUUCACCUUGCACAUGGCUAGAAUGUAACAGGUAGCUUAGUCCUGAGAUUUAGUAGCCACUUCUGUGAUGGACCAGUCAGUCAGUCAGAUUUUUUAUUGUUUCUAGCCAAUGGAAAUUACAUUGUAAAUCACAGACACACACACCCUAAGACAAUCCAACAGUAAGUUAAAGCAUAUCAAUUUUCAGAACUGAAGAUUAAAAUGGUAAAUUUUCUCAAAGAUUUUUUAAAAUAAAAUCCUUUUGGCAGUAGACACUCUUUGGGGUAUAAAAAGUAGUCGAUAUAUUUUAACUGCUAGUGAGUAUAAAAUUAUCCUGUAGGUGAGAAAUGUCUCUGUAAUUUGAACUCAUCUGAUUGAAUUUAUGUUUAGAAAACAGAGAAAUCUACCCCUAAGUGAACUGUAUAAAAGGCCAUAGAAGUUCUACUGUUCCAUGUCUGUGAUCUGGCCUGAUCCAUAUAACAAGAACAGUAAUUUGUUGGCCUAUUAAAGAACUUACUGGUUAGGUAUUUGUGGACAUAUCUUCAAAUCUAGGUUGAGUGUGAUGGACCAAAAAAAAAAUAUUAUUGAAUCAUUAGGUCAGACACACCUUUGUUGUUGUUUUUUAUACUGCCUAAGAUUUCCAAUACCAAAAAUGGAUAUGUAACAAAGGAAAAAAGAGUGAGGAAGUAAGGUUAUUUAUUCCUUCUCUAACACCUAUGCUUGAAGAAAAAUCCUUAUGUUUGAAAGAUCAUAAUGAUUGUAAACAAUAAGGCAUUGCAAUAAGAGAUCUUAUUUUGCACACUGUAUGUCUUCUUCUGUGCUGAGGACAUCUCAACUUGUCAUUUUGGACAUGCACGUUUCAUAUGGGUAGAACAAGGCUAUUCAUGUAUUCAUUCACAUAAAUUUGAAUGUUUAGAUAGCAGCUCAUCCUUCAUCCCAUUCUCUACAUGCUCACCUAUAUUUAUAUCUUGUUUAUGAAUAGGCUCUUUCCAUGUUAUUGGAGACCCUAUCUUUUGCAGGGUCCCUGAUAAUGUGUGAACAGUUGAUGCCCAGAUACAAUUUGAACAAAUGUGUAUGGUUAGUUAAAUGUGAGGAAGGAAGGGUGGAGCUAAUGGCCAUGAUCCUGCUCCCCUCCUCCAUGCGUUCAAACCUACUUGGAGGAAUGUAUGAACAAUCCUUUUUACAGGGCUUGUCAAUCCUUGGAUCUCUUCCUUGGUUUUCUGAUAGAAAUGUACACAUGAAGCAAAUGCUUACAGUUUGUAUUAUAGUCUAAGCAAUACUAUGUAGUAUUACAGCAUGCUGCAGUGUUAUAGCAUGCUAAAUAUAGCCAAAGCUAAGUAACAACUAAGGGCAUGGCCCCUCUGCCUGUGUAUGAUACAAUUUAAUGAUGCAGUCAAUGCAGCGGCAUAGCUAUACACUACUUUUCUUGUUAAAAUAUGUUAUGUAAUGUAGAACCCAUCUUAUUUUGUGAUUUUAGGUUGUUUUUAAUUGUUUUUAAAACUGUAUUUUAAAUUUGUUGU